This 497-nucleotide ribosomal RNA is filed under the name uncultured bacterium. RNAcentral's name for it is "partial 16S ribosomal RNA". It matches the Rfam family "Bacterial small subunit ribosomal RNA", at positions 28 to 507 of the family's 1533-position model. The record is from RNAcentral.
GACGAACGCUGGCGGCGUGCCUAAUACAUGCAAGUUGAGCGAUGAAGAUUGGUGCUUGCACCAAUUUGAAGAGCAGCGAACGGGUGAGUAACGCGUGGGGAAUCUGCCUUUGAGCGGGGGACAACAUUUGGAAACGAAUGCUAAUACCGCAUAACAACUUUAAACAUAAGUUUUAAGUUUGAAAGAUGCAAUUGCAUCACUCAAAGAUGAUCCCGCGUUGUAUUAGCUAGUUGGUGAGGUAAAGGCUCACCAAGGCGAUGAUACAUAGCCGACCUGAGAGGGUGAUCGGCCACAUUGGGACUGAGACACGGCCCAAACUCCUACGGGAGGCAGCAGUAGGGAAUCUUCGGCAAUGGACGAAAGUCUGACCGAGCAACGCCGCGUGAGUGAAGAAGGUUUACGGAUCGUAAAACUCUGUUGGUAGAGAAGAACGUUGGUGAGAGUGGAAAGCUCAUCAAGUGACGGUAACUACCCAGAAAGGGACGGCUAACUACGUG